Non-coding RNA from Lupinus angustifolius (narrow-leaved blue lupine), 119 nucleotides. NCBI's taxonomy places the organism in Eukaryota, Viridiplantae, Streptophyta, Magnoliopsida, Fabales, Fabaceae. The record is from Rfam.
AGGUGUGAUCAUACCAGCACUAAUGCCCCGUAUCCGAUCAGAACUCCAUAGUGAAGUGUGCUUAGGUGAGAGUAGUACUAGGAUGGGUGACCUCAUGGGGAGUCCUCGUGUUGCACCUC